Non-coding RNA from Acanthosepion pharaonis, 96 nucleotides. The record is from the annotation of a GenBank genome assembly. Lineage: Eukaryota; Metazoa; Mollusca; Cephalopoda; Sepiida; Sepiidae.
UGAAAACACUAGUUCUCAUUUGAUCACUGGAGUUAAGCAAUGUUGAGUCUGGUCAGUAAUUAGAUGAGGAACUGCUUGGGAACAACAGGUACUGUA